AUUGAACGCUGGCGGAAUGCUUUACACAUGCAAGUCGAACGGCAGCACGGACUUCGGCCUGGUGGCGAGUGGCGAACGGGUGAGUAAUACAUCGGAACGUACCCAGUAGUGGGGGAUAGCCCGGCGAAAGCCGGAUUAAUACCGCAUAUGCCCUGAGGGGGAAAGCGGGGGACCGAAAGGCCUCGCGCUAUUGGAGCGGCCGAUGGCUGAUUAGCUAGUUGGUGGGGUAAAGGCCUACCAAGGCGACGAUCAGUAGCUGGUCUGAGAGGACGACCAGCCACACUGGGACUGAGACACGGCCCAGACUCCUACGGGAGGCAGCAGUGGGGAAUUUUGGACAAUGGGCGAAAGCCUGAUCCAGCAAUGCCGCGUGUGCGAAGAAGGCCUUCGGGUUGUAAAGCACUUUUGUUUGGAAAGAAAAGGUUUGGGUUAAUACCCUGGACUGAUGACGGUACCAAUCGAAUAAGCACCGGCUAACUACGUGCCAGCCGCCGCAGUAA
Molecule: ribosomal RNA, 500 nt
Filed under: uncultured bacterium
Lineage: Bacteria
Description: partial 16S ribosomal RNA
Rfam family: Bacterial small subunit ribosomal RNA
Source: RNAcentral